Myripristis murdjan (pinecone soldierfish) is the source of this 83-nucleotide long non-coding RNA. RefSeq lists it as uncharacterized. The transcript has 3 exons. NCBI's taxonomy places the organism in Eukaryota, Metazoa, Chordata, Actinopteri, Holocentriformes, Holocentridae. The record is from RefSeq and is a predicted model, not a curated record.
AGGAACUUUAUUUUGUGUGGUCUGGAAGCUGACAAAGUCUAACUUUACUUUGAACAUUAUCAAUCAAAGAGAAAUGUCCUCCC